Molecule: ribosomal RNA, 675 nt
Filed under: Micromonospora sp. L656
Lineage: Bacteria; Bacillati; Actinomycetota; Actinomycetes; Micromonosporales; Micromonosporaceae
Description: bacterial SSU rRNA
Rfam family: Bacterial small subunit ribosomal RNA
Source: RNAcentral
CAGCGGAAAGGCCCUUCUGGGUACUCCAGCGGCGAACGGGUGAGUAACACGUGAGCAACCUGCCCCAGGCAUUUGGGAUAACCCCGGGAAACCGGGGCAUAAUACCGAAUAUGACCUUCCACCGCAUGGUUUUUGGUGGAAAGUUUUUCGGCUUGGGAUGGGCUCGCGGCCUAUCAGCUUGUUGGUGGGGUGAUGGCCUACCAAGGCGACUACGGUAGCCGGCCUGAGAGGGCGACCGGCCACACUGGGACUGAGACACGGCCCAAACUCCUACGGGAGGCAGCAGUGGGGAAUAUUGCACAAUGGGCGGAAGCCUGAUGCAGCGACCCCUCGUGAGGGGAUGACGGCCUUCCGGUUGUAAACCUCUUUCAGCAGGCGACAAGCUAAGUGACGGUACCUGCAGAAGAAGCGCCGCCAACUACGUGCCAGCAGCCGCGGUAAGACUAGGGCGCGAGCGUUGUCCGGAUUUAUUGGGCGUAAAGAGCUCGUAGGCGGCUUGUCGCGUCGACCGUGAAAACUUGGGGCUCAACCCCAAGCCUGCGGUCGAUACGGGCAGGCUAGAGUUCGCUAGGGGAGACUGGAAUUCCUGGUGUAGCGGUGAAAUGCGCAGAUAUCAGGAGGAACACCGCUGGCGAAGUCGGGUCCUCUGGAACCGUUACUAUACCCUGAGUGAAU